RNAcentral lists this small RNA (75 nucleotides) under Xanthomonas campestris. Its description in RNAcentral is "sX9 sRNA". It matches the Rfam family "Xanthomonas sRNA sX9". Lineage: Bacteria; Pseudomonadati; Pseudomonadota; Gammaproteobacteria; Lysobacterales; Lysobacteraceae. The record is from RNAcentral.
AUGUACCCACGUACACUCCGGUUCCUCCGCGCCGUCCGCACCCACCUGACGGCUGCUCGCUACGUUUUGUUAGCA